AUUCUGUGCAUUUGAGGUGGCAAAUUAAUUGAAUAUUUGUUUACCGUGAUCUACACAGAUAGAUUAAAUUGGAUCGAUUUCCGUGUUAAAUCAACUGAAAGUGUGAUGUUAACCCCGUAAGAUUCAUACA
RNAcentral lists this small nucleolar RNA (130 nucleotides) under Drosophila willistoni. RNAcentral's name for it is "snoRNA:GK26511". Lineage: Eukaryota; Metazoa; Arthropoda; Insecta; Diptera; Drosophilidae. The record is from RNAcentral.